CUACGGGCGGCAGCAGUGGGGAAUAUUGGACAAUGGGGGAAACCCUGAUCCAGCAAUGCCGCGUGUGUGAAGAAGGCCUGCGGGUUGUAAAGCACUUUCGGUUGGGAGGACUGCUUCUAGCACUAAUAUUGUUGGAAGUUGACGUUACCUUCAGAAGAAGCACCGGCUAACUCCGUGCCAGCAGCCGCGGUAAUACGGAGGGUGCAAGCGUAAUCGGAAUUACUGGGCGUAAAGCGCGCGUAGGCGGCUAGAUCAGUCGGGUGUGAAAGCCCCGGGCUUAACCUGGGAACUGCAUCCGAUACUGUCUAGCUUGAGUACAGGAGAGGAGAGUGGAAUUCCACAUGUAGCGGUGAAAUGCGUAGAUAUGUGGAGGAACACCAAUGGCGAAGGCAGCUCUCUGGCCUGAUACUGAUGCUGAGGUGCGAAAGCGUGGGGAGCAAACAGGAUUAGAUACCCCGGUAGUC
Molecule: ribosomal RNA, 464 nt
Filed under: uncultured bacterium
Lineage: Bacteria
Description: partial 16S ribosomal RNA
Rfam family: Bacterial small subunit ribosomal RNA
Source: RNAcentral